AGCGUAGGUGGCUUGAUAAGUCAGAUGUGAAAGCCCCGGGUUUAACCUGGGAACGGCAUCUGAUACUGUUAGGCUAGAGUAGGUGAGAGGAAGGUAGAAUUCCAGGUGUAGCGGUGAAAUGCGUAGAGAUCUGGAGGAAUACCGAUGGCGAAGGCAGCCAUCUGGCCUAAUACUGACACUGAGGUGCGAAAGCAUGGGGAGCAAACAG
Molecule: ribosomal RNA, 208 nt
Filed under: uncultured Pseudomonadota bacterium
Lineage: Bacteria; Pseudomonadati; Pseudomonadota
Description: uncultured proteobacterium partial 16S ribosomal RNA
Rfam family: Bacterial small subunit ribosomal RNA
Source: RNAcentral